CGUGGGAACCUGCCUUUCUCUGCGGGACAACGGUUGGAAACGACCGCUAAUACCGCAUACGCCCUACGGGGGAAAGGUCAGCCGGAGAAAGAGGGGCCCGCGUUCGAUUAGCUUGUUGGUGGGGUAAUGGCCUACCAAGGCGACGAUCGAUAGCUGGUCUGAGAGGAUGAUCAGCCACACUGGGACUGAGACACGGCCCAGACUCCUACGGGAGGCAGCAGUGGGGAAUAUUGGACAAUGGGGGCAACCCUGAUCCAGCAAUGCCGCGUGUGUGAUGAAGGCCUUAGGGUUGUAAAGCACUUUCACUGGUGAAGAUGAUGACGGUAGCCAGAGAAGAAGCCCCGGCUAACUUCGUGCCAGCAGCCGCGGUAAUACGAAGGGGGCGAGCGUUGUUCGGAAUUACUGGGCGUAAAGGGCGCGUAGGCGGUCCUUUAAGUUAGGCGUGAAAGCCCCGGGCUCAACCUGGGAACUGCGCUUAAGACUGGAGGACUAGAAAACGGAAGAGGGU
This 508-nucleotide ribosomal RNA is filed under the name proteobacterium MS-M-87. RNAcentral describes it as "bacterial SSU rRNA". It matches the Rfam family "Bacterial small subunit ribosomal RNA", at positions 116 to 659 of the family's 1533-position model. The record is from RNAcentral. Lineage: Bacteria; Pseudomonadati; Pseudomonadota.